GCAGUGCGUCACAGUCGGGUCGGGAGCCCUGUGGCCUGGAGGAAGCGGGAGGAGGCGCGGGCAGCCGCCAGGGCGAGGCGACCCGGUGCGGGGGGACUCCCAUGGAGCGCGGACUCCUAAGGAAGUCGCUGGGAAUCCCACCGGCUGUACCGCAGGGCGUUAGUACCUAGAUGGCUUCGGUGCCCCCAAGCGAUGGGCUCAAGCUACAGGGCGGGCUUUGCACCUGGCCUUCUCAGCUCUGAGGCAGGCAGUGGGCAGCUUCGCCUCCACCCUCCGUCCAGCGCCCUUCCCAUGGGGCCAUCCGCCUCUCCCUAAGGCACUAAAAACCAGUGGAGGAGUCAGGCCAUGUUGGCAAAAAGGGCUCGGGCAGCAGCCCCAGACCUAUAGUCCUAAAUAUCCAUGUACCCAGCCCUGGGGUCGCGAGCCAUCUCAGGGACGACCCGAUUCCAGCGGAUGGAGAAGUUCCCUGAAAACACCUGCCUGGGAGGAGAGACGAGGGAACGAGAUUGGGCAAGUGGCAUCCGCCCAGCGGGCUUCUCAAAGGUUUUUAAAGCAGAAUGGGACGUAAUAGGAAGAUGUGUCUAGCAGAGAGUAAAAUAAAGGGGCAUUUAGAGGUGUGGGCACCUGGAUGAAAACAAAGGCUCCAAAGGGAUGAUGGUGAGGGUUACAGCCCACCACAGUAGACAGAGACACCAAGGAAGGAAUGCAGUCAGUGGCCCUGCGUAGACAGUCUCAGGAGAGAGCACACCAGCUCACCCCAGGACUCAUCCAAGGCUGGGGAUGGAUGUCGAUGCAGCAACUCUGGAAGGCAGAAGACAGUGCUUUACCAUGGAACUGAAACCAUGAAAAGUGAAACUGCAAAUGGGAGAGACUGCUGUAUAGUCACUGAAAAAUUAAUGGAUGAGCUCAACAGCAAAUUAGACACAACUGAAACCUUGGACCCAUGUGUGGAAGAUGACAGCAUCACCAACUGGAGGGUGCCUGGAUCCCUGAGUCACCACUUGAAGCAAAAAGGUCAAGAGUAGCCACCUGACCCAUAUCAGGCUAUGAAAUGAAGAGAAAAUGACACGAGGCUUUGGAACCAAGAGCUGGAGGAACCUGGAAGCGAAAGCUGAGGCUGUCGGCUGCCCAGCAGUUAACACCCUGAGACCAUCUUCCCACUUCCAACACCCACAGAAGCUGCCACCCAAGGGCCCCUGUGUCCCCGCAUGGCCCACCUCAGCAGUAUGAUGCAGCACUGGGGAAGUGACAGAAUGUGAAAAAAACUAUUAUAGCUGAGAUAUUUUAAAAUUCCGCCCUCCAGGCAGCAUCUGGUUGCUACAGCAACCCCAGCUCUGCAGGGUGUCCCGAUUACCAGCAGGCUCCCUGCACCUGCCUCAGGCUGAGAGCAGGCGGCUGCCGCCAAGGGGAACACCAAGGAAAUGCCCAUGUUCUGAUUCCAAGGUAAUGGCUCAGACCCAAGGGGAUUUUAUCUGUUCAAUGUGCAACCUGAUGAAGUUUUGUCCCAUGUUAAUAAUUUCAUUAAAAAUAUGGCCUUACAUCCUA
Homo sapiens (human) is the source of this 1545-nucleotide long non-coding RNA. Ensembl annotates it as long intergenic non-protein coding RNA 1664. Lineage: Eukaryota; Metazoa; Chordata; Mammalia; Primates; Hominidae. The record is from Ensembl.